UUGUAUAUCGAUGGUUUGUAUGCUAACGGAAACGACGUCGUGUAAUCCCUCUUUCAAUCCCGGCCCCUUGCUUUUGGCUACGCAUGCAGAUAGUUUGAUGCUUUCCUUUCUUUGAGGCAUCCCAAUUCUGUUCAGUCAUUCCUUGAUCUUAAUAUUAAUAUGAUAGUUUCGUCUCUCUUUCUUAUCCGGUUGCUUUGAGACAGCGUCGGCUUCUCCCAAUCUUUCUUUCCUGGGGGCUAAAUAGAGGGGGCGGGGUGGAGUCGGAAGAAAGAAGAUCUUUUAUAGGGGUCGAAAUCGAAUACCAAGUCCAAAAAAUGCCUCUCCAUCGUCGGAACCGGAAAGUUUCGGGAGAUUGUGAAAGUUUCUGUUACAUUUCUUGAGCAUCAGGAUCUGCUUCUUCUUCUGCUUAUUUCGAUCUCUUGAGCCACUGCAUCAGAUCGGCUUCUGUUUUUCUUCCCACUACAUCCGGAAAUGGUGAGGAGUACCAAAGCUUGGUGAAGCAGCAUGUGGAUUUGGAGACAGUACAAAGAAGGAUCGUCAAGGGCACCUAUUCCUCAUGCACCCUCGGAUUCUACCGAGACCUCCUGCUUCUCUUCAACAACGCUGCGUUAUUCUUUCCCAUGUCAUCCCUUGAGUCCAUCACUGCCCACCAGCUUCGCCACCUCCUGUUGAAUGAGAUCCCUAAACGCAGCAACUCAUUCCCAAAAGAACAUUCUCCGGCACCGAAUGCUGCAGCAUCACCGUUCCAGCCUAAACCCGAGUUAGAAAGAUCUCAUGCAUUGCUUGCAAAACACAACUCGCCUGCUCCGAUAAUUGUUUGCCGCAAAAGGAGUUCCAUUUCAGCUAAACCUAAUUCCUCCGCCACUACCUCCAGUCAAAAAGAAAAGCAAGGAAGCUAGUGACGAGAAUACACCGGCUCUUUAUGCAGAGUUAUUGCAAAAUAUUGUUCAUUUGGGGUUUAGGGUUCUUGAUGGCUUUAUGCUUAUUGGCCCACCAAGUUGUUUUAUUAAUAUUUGAGUCCUGUUGAAAUUCAUUAUAGUUGUCCUGUCAUGGUGAUUCAUUAAAUGGCAUAGGUCUUUGUCUUUUAUUUCAAAAUUCUUAAACUAUAUAGUUUGGAAAGCUUUAAGCAA
This is a long non-coding RNA of Alnus glutinosa, 1130 nucleotides long. RefSeq lists it as uncharacterized. The record is from RefSeq and is a predicted model, not a curated record. Lineage: Eukaryota; Viridiplantae; Streptophyta; Magnoliopsida; Fagales; Betulaceae. The transcript has 2 exons.